This 64-nucleotide small nucleolar RNA is filed under the name Dasypus novemcinctus (nine-banded armadillo). RNAcentral describes it as "Small nucleolar RNA SNORD58 (ENSDNOG00000029164.1)". It matches the Rfam family "Small nucleolar RNA SNORD58". Rfam says of the family: snoRNA U58 is found in introns 1, 3 and 6 of the ribosomal protein RPL17 gene in humans. The record is from RNAcentral. Lineage: Eukaryota; Metazoa; Chordata; Mammalia; Cingulata; Dasypodidae.
CUGCAAUGAUGGAAUUUCUUAGGACUUAGGACUUACUCAUGAAAACAACUAGUAUCUGAGCAGC